UUGUUCUUUCCCGCCGUAUAUACCACCGUCGUCAGCUUACCCUGUGAAGGCCCUAUAGUAAGCACAAUCGGCAAUGCCCAAUACGUCAGGUCGAGGUGUAGCGAAUGGAAGGGGAAGAAAUGGGCUACAUUUACUAAUAUAGUAAAUACGGAUGAUCACCCUGCAACGAGUAUCUGAAGGAGGAUUUAGCAGUAAGCAAAAAAUAGAGCGUUUUGCUGAAAUUGGCCCUGAAGCGUGCACACACCGCCCGUCACUCUCCCCGAACUAAGAUCUAAAACAUAACUAAUAUGCUAUAACUGUAAAGGGGAGGCAAGUCGUAACAUGGUAAGCGUACCGGAAGGUGCGCUUGGAAAAAC
This 356-nucleotide ribosomal RNA is filed under the name Chaetodon kleinii (sunburst butterflyfish). RNAcentral's name for it is "partial 12S ribosomal RNA". It matches the Rfam family "Bacterial small subunit ribosomal RNA", at positions 1025 to 1527 of the family's 1533-position model. Lineage: Eukaryota; Metazoa; Chordata; Actinopteri; Chaetodontiformes; Chaetodontidae. The record is from RNAcentral.